RNAcentral lists this small nucleolar RNA (301 nucleotides) under Spathaspora passalidarum NRRL Y-27907. RNAcentral describes it as "Fungal small nucleolar RNA U3". It matches the Rfam family "Fungal small nucleolar RNA U3". Rfam says of the family: Small nucleolar RNAs (snoRNAs) are involved in the processing and modification of rRNA in the nucleolus. There are two main classes of snoRNAs: the box C/D class, and the box H/ACA class. The record is from Rfam by way of RNAcentral. Lineage: Eukaryota; Fungi; Ascomycota; Pichiomycetes; Serinales; Debaryomycetaceae.
GUCGACGUACUUCAUAGGAUCAUUUCUAUAGGUCACGUCCCUCUUUGACUCUUCAAAAGAGCCACUGAAUCCAACUUGGUUGAUGAGUGAGAUACCCUUAUACCCUCAAAGUGAGAAUUUAGUUUAGCUUGACUGUGAUUCUUUGCAAUCUGGUCAUCUACUUGUUUGCCUUUUGUUAGUGUUUGUAUUGUCUGCAAAGAUUAUUAUGAAUACGUUAAAAGGAGCGAUGAUCUUUACCCUUUUCACUAUGCCUUUUCGGAGGACUGUGGAUUGGGUGGGUAUGAGUGGCUGUCUGACAAGU